UAUUAGAGUUUGAUCAUGGCUCAGGACGAACGCUGGCGGCGUGCUUAACACAUGCAAGUCGAACGGAAAGGCCCGCUUGCGGGUACUCGAGUGGCGAACGGGUGAGUAACACGUGGGCAACCUGCCCUCAGCUCUGGGAUAACUCCGGGAAACCGGUGCUAAUACUGGAUAUCGACUUCUGCCUCGCAUGGGGUGUUGUUGAAAGUUUUUCGGCUGGGGAUGGGCCCGCGGCCUAUCAGCUUGUUGGUGGGGUGAUGGCCUACCAAGGCGACGACGGGUAGCCGGCCUGAGAGGGCGACCGGCCACACUGGGACUGAGACACGGCCCAGACUCCUACGGGAGGCAGCAGUGGGGAAUAUUGCGCAAUGGGCGAAAGCCUGAUCCAGCAACGCCGCGUGAGGGAUGACGGCCUUCGGGUUGUAAACCUCUUUCAGUACCGACGAAGCGCAAGUGACGGUAGGUACAGAAGAAGCACCGGCCAACUACGUGCCAGCAGCCGCGGUAGCCC
This 508-nucleotide ribosomal RNA is filed under the name uncultured bacterium. Its description in RNAcentral is "bacterial SSU rRNA". It matches the Rfam family "Bacterial small subunit ribosomal RNA", at positions 1 to 526 of the family's 1533-position model. The record is from RNAcentral.